AACGGGUGAGUAACACGUGGGAAACCUACCUCUUAGCAGGGGAUAACAUUUGGAAACAGAUGCUAAUACCGUAUAACAAUAGCAACCGCAUGGUUGCUACUUAAAAGAUGGUUCUGCUAUCACUAAGAGAUGGUCCCGCGGUGCAUUAGUUAGUUGGUGAGGUAAUGGCUCACCAAGACGAUGAUGCAUAGCCGAGUUGAGAGACUGAUCGGCCACAGUGGGACUGAGACACGGCCCAUACUCCUACGGGAGGCAGCAGUAGGGAAUCUUCCACAAUGGGCGAAAGCCUGAUGGAGCAACGCCGCGUGUGUGAUGAAGGGUUUCGGCUCGUAAAACACUGUUGUAAGAGAAGAAUGACAUUGAGAGUAACUGUUCAAUGUGUGACGGUAUCUUACCAGAAAGGAACGGCUAAAUACGUGCCAGCAGCCGCGGUAAUACGUAUGUUCCAAGCGUUAUCCGGAUUUAUUGGGCGUAAAGCGAGCGCAGACGGUUAUUUAAGUCUGAAGUGAAACCCCUCAGCUCAACUGAGGAAUUGCUUUGAAACUGGAUGACUUGAGUGCAGUAGAGGAAAGUGGAACUCCAUGUGUAGCGGUGAAAUGCGUAGAUAUAUGGAAGAACACCAGUGGCGAAGGCGGCUUUCUGGACUGUAACUGACGUUGAGGCUCGAAAGUGUGGGUAGCAAACAGGAUUAGAUACCCUGGUAGUCCACACCGUACACGAUGAGUGCUAGGUGUUUGAGGGUUCCGCCCUAUAGUGCCGCACUAACGCAUAAACACUCCGCCUGGGGAGUACACCGCAGG
Molecule: ribosomal RNA, 800 nt
Filed under: Weissella confusa
Lineage: Bacteria; Bacillati; Bacillota; Bacilli; Lactobacillales; Lactobacillaceae
Description: bacterial SSU rRNA
Rfam family: Bacterial small subunit ribosomal RNA
Source: RNAcentral